RNAcentral lists this transfer RNA (72 nucleotides) under Oxyzygonectes dovii. Its description in RNAcentral is "tRNA-Trp". It matches the Rfam family "tRNA". Rfam says of the family: Transfer RNA (tRNA) molecules are approximately 80 nucleotides in length. Their secondary structure includes four short double-helical elements and three loops (D, anti-codon, and T loops). Lineage: Eukaryota; Metazoa; Chordata; Actinopteri; Cyprinodontiformes; Anablepidae. The record is from RNAcentral.
AGGGAUUUAGGAUAGAAAAAAGACCAAGGACCUUCAAAGUCCUAAGCGAGGGUGAAAGUCCCCCAGUCCCUG